Molecule: long non-coding RNA, 312 nt
Filed under: Zonotrichia albicollis (white-throated sparrow)
Lineage: Eukaryota; Metazoa; Chordata; Aves; Passeriformes; Passerellidae
Description: lncRNA (ENSZALG00000000936.1)
Source: RNAcentral
AUGCUACUCAGCAGCUCAAGAUAGUAGAGGCAGCUGCAUAGUUUUGAGUUUCAUUCUUCCUAUUCUUUAAAACCAAGUGUGUCAUCUGAUGGAAAAAUGCUGCUACCAGAGAUGAAGACCCAGCAGGAGCCCAAUGUGAGCACUGCCAAGCUGCCCCAGAGCCCAGUAUGAGCCCUGCAAGGCUUCUACAGAGCUGGAGUGUUGCCAUGAUGUACUCUCUCUCUCCUGACAUUCAAAAAGAGUAAGGGGAUGCUGACAAGGGGAUGGAGCGACUUCUGCCCAAGGAACCCUGAGAUAAGCCAAGGCACUUCA